GGGAAAUCUACCCAUUUUAAUCCUAAUAAGCGGUCGUGUUUGAAUGAUGCUGGAUAAUCUAGAGUCUCCCUUGAAUUUUACUAAAACCAAGUACACCAACGAGUAGAGCAAGUUUUUGUGAACAUUUCUGUUUAUUUUCACUUUCACUAAAAGUUAUUCUAUUUCUUUACCAAGCAUUUAACAAAAAAAAUUCCCAAGGGUAUUCUAAUCGAGGCGAAUGCAUUGGGCCACGCCCAUUUUUCUAAUAUCGGCUUAGUUCUUUUUUCUUCCAACACUCUGUCGAGUGUUGCCAUUUGCGCUGACAGUUCAAACGAACACUCACGAAAAGUGGCAUUUAUAGGGAAAGUUUCCUGGCAUCGCUGGCUGUGCUGCUGCCCAAUCAAAUCGUUCUCCGCUUGACGGGUUCAUUCCGCUUCGAAUUCCGCUUCGAAAAUUGCUUCGAAAUUUUCUAAACGGAAUCUCCGGUUGGACUCCGUUUAGAUUCCGUUUGAGCCAUUUUGGCACAUUAGCGACACCUGCUGGUGUACGGCAGAACCUCGAUGACAUUUCGCCGCGUUUCGCCGAAGCGGUUUUCUUGUUGAUUUUUUCAAUCUAACGUCAAAGUGUUAGGAAAAAAGCAAAAAGCAAAACAUGUUUGGUCCUGUUCAUUCGCGCCACGUUUUUUCGGGGAAUGCUGUGGAAAUAAUCGAACUGAUUCCUGGCCGCCCUACACGGGCUCGACGGAACCGGCUUCUUUUAUCUCUUCCAGUCGUUUCUUCUCCAUCCGGUCCAGCUUGUCGAACCCACAUUGACAUUUUUCCAAUGCUUGGACAGGCCACCAGAGCCGAAACCUGUGCAACCUUCGUCGGGGUUCUCAUUCUGCGGUCCACAUUCCCGGCGCUGUUGGCGGCACCGAACUCUGCCUUGGUCGACGCCAGCGGCUGGGACGUUUGGCCGUGAUGGCCGAUUUAGCAUUGGCCGGACUGGCCUUGAGGCGCUUCUUCAGCGGAAGCACGCGUGAAAGAUUUUUUUCACAGCACGUAAGUUUUUUAAACUUUUUAGUUAUAAUCAAAAUUAACUUUGAAACAUUUUUAAUUCAGGUGGAUAAUCGCGGGUGUUCUUCGAUUUGAACGUUGGCCAACUUUGAAUUAAACCGCCGAUCUCGAUGCGCCCGCUGGAGGAUUGUGGCCACUGGAACCAGCCAGCUGCGGAAUGUGUGGACCUGAGGUCGGACCUGUCCUGCGUGCAGAGGGCGACACGAUGCUGUCGGUCUAGCUGGUGGGCCAGGAGGUCGUACUUUCGACGGAAAAAUCCACCGCUUCAACAACACCCAGCGAGGGCACCUUUAGUGGCUUAGAAAAUUUCACCCGAAUACUUUCCAAACAACAGAAGUUGCUGCUUGUCCUUCUGUUUUGCCCAAUGAACCGCCAGUCGCGGCGUAAUUUCUCGUGCCGCCUCCGGAGAGUGACGCCGUCGUGUCUAAGUUGCCGAAUCCAAUGGACGGCAAGCUGGCGGUGCUCGUACCAAACGCACCUGACGGUGUCGGCGCCAGCAGUGACGCGGCUUAUCUGUUCGAAAGCAUGACCCAGGCGCGCAUGGGUCAGCGGCGGAGAACACUCGACGACGUCCCAAUUCCUUUGUCGUGCCGAACUCUCCGAUUGCGUUGGGUCGCCAGCACCACCUCCUCCUCCGCCGGCCUACCAGGGUAAUGGUUUCAGCGGUGAAGAGUGGACCACCUUCGCAGUCGCUGCGACCACCUGCUCGUUGCUAGUGGACCUACUGUAGAAGGAAUGCUUCAUUCCGUAUGUUGGGGACUACUGGGGGACUAAAGACCAGCGGACCCACGGCCAAAUCAGCGAUGCUAGGAGGUGUCGUGCAUCGUAACCCAGCUAUACCAAGUUGGCAGGAUUGCGGUUGAGAACAUCCCGGGGGAGGCGACGAGCAAGAUCUACCUGCUGCAGCAGUGGACACCGGUUCGACAGAACACUACCAGCACCAUGUCGGCGAUCCUACUACCGACGAUCGUGGAGAAGCUCCUCCGAUAGAAUCGAAACAUCUUCCAGCACGGAUCGCCGCCAUUCGAAUGCCUGCCAAUCUCCCUAACCUCGGUGCGACGACGACGAAUCUCACUUAGACCAAGCGGCCACGGUCCAGUCGACGAAAUCAUCCGAUACGAUCGACGGCGGCCAAGACGAAGACGAUGGAAUCCCGCGUAUAUCAUCCCGGCGUCGAGUACGGUCGAAUCGUCCGAUGCGACUCUCCAAUUCGGCGGACAAGAUAAAAUAAAAUCCACCCGAUCAGAACGAAAACCGGCAAGUCUGGAAUCGGCUAUCCAGAUUACGCGGACGCCCAGCAGCAAGAAACAGCAGAACGCAUUUCAUUUACUAAAGCCUAUGUAAUUUUGCGAAAAAAAAAGAUUAUUAAAAAUGGGGAAUUUGGGGCUGGGACUCGUGUUUUUAUUAAGGCGCUAAGUACAUAUAGGAAACCGUCGUCGGGAAACCUGUAAUGGUUUUGACUUGAACUUAAUGAAAUAAUGAAUUAAUGAAAAUAAACUCAACGUAUUAACAAAAUUCCAAUCUGUUUUUUUUCCGGUUGAAUUUCAAUUCAACCAAAACAAAAAAGAAAAACCACGAUACUAAGAAGAAGAAGAAGAAGCAGCUGUCAAAACUAACCCGUCCAUUCCGUUUCAAUUCCGUUUGAAUUCCGCUUGAACCGAUUUGCGGCGAAAACUCAAACGGAACCGGUUGUUGCGUUUGAAACGGAAUGCGGUUUAGAAUCUAAAACGAACACUGUUUAGAAUUCGAAUCGAACUUUUUUCGCUCAAGCGGAAUUCUAAACGGAAUUCAAACGGAACGCGCUGAGUGGGUGGUGGUGUGGACGGCCAGCCUUUGUUCUUUUUUGCCUUCGUCUCUCGCUCGGUUUUCUUCAGCCUUCGAGUGGAAUGCAAAGUGAAAAUUGAAACGUCAAACGACUUGGCGCGUUUGUUUUUUUGAUGGCGCUUGCUAAUUUAUUACAUUUUUCGGGAUUAUUCUUCAAUUGAGUGCCUUAAUAAUGAUCAAAAGAACAUGUUGCCGGUAGUUGGAAGCAAUUUCAUAUCUUAAGCGCCGUGAAAAAGUAAGCGAAAGUGAAAAGUUAAUUUUGGCGAUAUUCAUUAAGCGUUUGAGGGAUUCUCGUGUGUGUCACUGUGUGUGCCAACAAAAUGAUGAGAAGU
Long non-coding RNA from Culex pipiens pallens (northern house mosquito), 3190 nucleotides. RefSeq lists it as uncharacterized. The record is from RefSeq and is a predicted model, not a curated record. The transcript has 4 exons. Lineage: Eukaryota; Metazoa; Arthropoda; Insecta; Diptera; Culicidae.